RNAcentral lists this ribosomal RNA (497 nucleotides) under uncultured bacterium. RNAcentral's name for it is "partial 16S ribosomal RNA". It matches the Rfam family "Bacterial small subunit ribosomal RNA", at positions 28 to 507 of the family's 1533-position model. The record is from RNAcentral.
GAUGAACGCUGGCGGCGUGCCUAAUACAUGCAAGUCGAGCGAACAGACGAGGAGCUUGCUCCUCUGACGUUAGCGGCGGACGGGUGAGUAACACGUGGAUAACCUACCUAUAGGACUGGGAUAACUUCGGGAAACCGGAGCUAAUACCGGAUAAUAUAUUGAACCGCAUGGUUCAAUAGUGAAAGACGGUUUUGCUGUCACUUAUAGAUGGAUCCGCGCCGCAUUAGCUAGUUGGUAAGGUAACGGCUUACCAAGGCAACGAUGCGUAGCCGACCUGAGAGGGUGAUCGGCCACACUGGAACUGAGACACGGUCCAGACUCCUACGGGAGGCAGCAGUAGGGAAUCUUCCGCAAAGGGCGAAAGCCUGACGGAGCAACGCCGCGUGAGUGAUGAAGGUCUUCGGAUCGUAAAACUCUGUUAUUAGGGAAGAACAAAUGUGUAAGUAACUAUGCACGUCUUGACGGUACCUAAUCAGAAAGCCACGGCUAACUACGUG